Oryza barthii is the source of this 191-nucleotide non-coding RNA. The record is from Rfam. Lineage: Eukaryota; Viridiplantae; Streptophyta; Magnoliopsida; Poales; Poaceae.
AAGACGACACUUUUUUAUUUUUUAUGUCCAACUUUUGAUCGUCCGUCUUAUUUAAAAAAAUAUGAUUAUUAUUUUUAUUGUUAUUAGAUGAUAAAAUAUGAAUAAUGAUUUAUGUGUACUAAUUUUUUUACUAAUCUAUUUUAAAUAAGAUGGAUGGCCAAACGUUGGAUAAAGAGGUACCAGUACGUAAC